CCGAAAGGCGUAGUCGAUGGGAAACAGGUUAAUAUUCCUGUACUUGGUGUUACUGCGAAGGGGGGACGGAGAAGGCUAUGUUGGCCGGGCGACGGUUGUCCCGGUUUAAGCGUGUAGGCUGGUUUUCCAGGCAAAUCCGGAAAAUCAAGGCUGAGGCGUGAUGACGAGGCACUACGGUGCUGAAGCGACAAAUGCCCUGCUUCCAGGAAAAGCCUCUAAGCAUCAGGUAACAUCAAAUCGUACCCCAAACCGACACAGGUGGUCAGGUAGAGAAUACCAAGGCGCUUGAGAGAACUCGGGUGAAGGAACUAGGCAAAAUGGUGCCGUAACUUCGGGAGAAGGCACGCUGAUAUGUAGGUGAAGCGACUUGCUCGUGGAGCUGAAAUCAGUCGAAGAUACCAGCUGGCUGCAACUGUUUAUUAAAAACACAGCACUGUGCAAACACGAAAGUGGACGUAUACGGUGUGACGCCUGCCCGGUGCCGGAAGGUUAAUUGAUGGGGUUAGCGGUAACGCGAAGCUCUUGAUCGAAGCCCCGGUAAACGGCGGCCGUAACUAUAACGGUCCUAAGGUAGCGAAAUUCCUUGUCGGGUAAGUUCCGACCUGCACGAAUGGCGUAAUGAUGGCCAGGCUGUCUCCACCCGAGACUCAGUGAAAUUGAACUCGCUGUGAAGAUGCAGUGUACCCGCGGCAAGACGGAAAGACCCCGUGAACCUUUACUAUAGCUUGACACUGAACAUUGAGCCUUGAUGUGUAGGAUAGGUGGGAGGCUUUGAAGUGUGGACGCCAGUCUGCAUGGAGCCGACCUUGAAAUACCACCCUUUAAUGUUUGAUGUUCUAACGUGGGCCCCUUACCGGGGUUGCGGACAGUGUCUGGUGGGUAGUUUGACUGGGGCGGUCUCCUCCUAAAGAGUAACGGAGGAGCACGAAGGUUGGCUAAUCCUGGUCGGACAUCAGGAGGUUAGUGCAAUGGCAUAAGCCAGCUUGACUGCGAGCGUGACGGCGCGAGCAGGUGCGAAAGCAGGUCAUAGUGAUCCGGUGGUUCUGAAUGGAAGGGCCAUCGCUCAACGGAUAAAAGGUACUCCGGGGAUAACAGGCUGAUACCGCCCAAGAGUUCAUAUCGACGGCGGUGUUUGGCACCUCGAUGUCGGCUCAUCACAUCCUGGGGCUGAAGUAGGUCCCAAGGGUAUGGCUGUUCGCCAUUUAAAGUGGUACGCGAGCUGGGUUUAGAACGUCGUGAGACAGUUCGGUCCCUAUCUGCCGUGGGCGCUGGAGAACUGAGGGGGGCUGCUCCUAGUACGAGAGGACCGGAGUGGACGCAUCACUGGUGUUCGGGUUGUCAUGCCAAUGGCACUGCCCGGUAGCUAAAUGCGGAAGAGAUAAGUGCUGAAAGCAUCUAAGCACGAAACUUGCCCCGAGAUGAGUUCUCCCUGACUCCUUGAGAGUCCUGAAGGAACGUUGAAGACGACGACGUUGAUAGGCCGGGUGUGUAAGCGCAGCGAUGCGUUGAGCUAACCGGUACUAAUGAACCGUGAGGCUUAACCUUACAACGCCGAAG
RNAcentral lists this ribosomal RNA (1557 nucleotides) under Escherichia coli. RNAcentral describes it as "partial 23S ribosomal RNA". It matches the Rfam family "Bacterial large subunit ribosomal RNA", at positions 1402 to 2925 of the family's 2925-position model. Lineage: Bacteria; Pseudomonadati; Pseudomonadota; Gammaproteobacteria; Enterobacterales; Enterobacteriaceae. The record is from RNAcentral.